Molecule: unclassified non-coding RNA, 272 nt
Filed under: Hevea brasiliensis (rubber tree)
Lineage: Eukaryota; Viridiplantae; Streptophyta; Magnoliopsida; Malpighiales; Euphorbiaceae
Source: RNAcentral
UGGAAUAACCUUCCGUUGAUUGCGUUUGCGAGAAGGCUUGCGCCAUCACCUCGCGUUAGUGAAUCUCCGCGGCCUUGGCCAGCGCUUCCUUGAGCUUCGCCACGGUGAAUCCGGGAUCACGCGCGAUGCCGAGGAUUGGCUCCUCGCGGCGCUCGCACAGCCUUGCUGCAUCCGGGAGUUUUGCCGCGACAUUGGCCGGAAUCACGACCGCACCGUGACGAUCCGCAUGAAUGAGAUCGUCCGAGCUCACCGUCAUGCCGGCGACGCACACC